GUUGUGGUUCAGUGGCAGAGCAUCUGCCUGGCAUGCAGUAGGUCCCAGAUUCAAUCCCUGAUAUCUCCA
Molecule: transfer RNA, 69 nt
Filed under: Sphaerodactylus townsendi
Lineage: Eukaryota; Metazoa; Chordata; Lepidosauria; Squamata; Sphaerodactylidae
Description: tRNA-Ala
Rfam family: tRNA
About the family: Transfer RNA (tRNA) molecules are approximately 80 nucleotides in length. Their secondary structure includes four short double-helical elements and three loops (D, anti-codon, and T loops).
Source: RNAcentral